This is a small RNA of Paracoccidioides sp., 290 nucleotides long. It matches the Rfam family "5' ureB small RNA". The record is from Rfam. NCBI's taxonomy places the organism in Eukaryota, Fungi, Ascomycota, Eurotiomycetes, Onygenales, Ajellomycetaceae.
UUAACCUGCUGUGGACAAAUAAAAUGGACAUGAGUAUCUAUGCCACCGGCAGUCACUAUUUUCCCUUCACCAGAAAUGACAUCGGUGCAAGCUCCAACGACCAUCUUCGGAUGGACACCAUCCAUAAUAUCCGGGUUUCCCGCCUUCCCAAUGGCCACAAUAUCACCCCCCUUAAUACCUAUAUCAGCCACGUAAAUCCCACUCCAAUCGAUAAUAAGUGCGCUCGUAAUAACGGUAUCAAGCACAUCAUCCGCACCCCUCCCUGAAGCUUGGCCCAUGCCUUCUCGUAG